RNAcentral lists this ribosomal RNA (728 nucleotides) under Psychrobacter sp. P672. RNAcentral describes it as "bacterial SSU rRNA". It matches the Rfam family "Bacterial small subunit ribosomal RNA", at positions 43 to 764 of the family's 1533-position model. The record is from RNAcentral. Lineage: Bacteria; Pseudomonadati; Pseudomonadota; Gammaproteobacteria; Moraxellales; Moraxellaceae.
CAGGCUUAACACAUGCAAGUCGAGCGGAAACGAUGGGAGCUUGCUCCCAGGCGUCGAGCGGCGGACGGGUGAGUAACACUUAGGAAUCUACCUAGUAGUGGGGGAUAGCUCGGGGAAACUCGAAUUAAUACCGCAUACGACCUACGGGAGAAAGGGGGCAGUUUACUGCUCUCGCUAUUAGAUGAGCCUAAGUCGGAUUAGCUAGAUGGUGGGGUAAAGGCCUACCAUGGCGACGAUCUGUAGCUGGUCUGAGAGGAUGAUCAGCCACACCGGGACUGAGACACGGCCCGGACUCCUACGGGAGGCAGCAGUGGGGAAUAUUGGACAAUGGGGGCAACCCUGAUCCAGCCAUGCCGCGUGUGUGAAGAAGGCCUUUUGGUUGUAAAGCACUUUAAGCAGUGAAGAAGACCUAACGGUUAAUACCCGUUAGCGAUGACAUUAGCUGCAGAAUAAGCACCGGCUAACUCUGUGCCAGCAGCCGCGGUAAUACAGAGGGUGCAAGCGUUAAUCGGAAUUACUGGGCGUAAAGCGAGCGUAGGUGGCUUGAUAAGUCAGAUGUGAAAUCCCCGGGCUUAACCUGGGAACUGCAUCUGAUACUGUUAAGCUAGAGUAGGUGAGAGGGAAGUAGAAUUCCAGGUGUAGCGGUGAAAUGCGUAGAGAUCUGGAGGAAUACCGAUGGCGAAGGCAGCUUCCUGGCAUCAUACUGACACUGAGGCUCGAAAGCGUGG